AGUGGAAAUGGGAUUUGAACCCAGGUGUGUCUGAAUCUGAAGAUUAUGAUUUUAACAACUAAGAUUUGUUGUCCUGUUUUGUUACACAGGUUCUGAUCAUUAUGGACUAUUCUACAACUGAGAAAGUGCAGCUGCUGAAUGCAGUUUUUCCCUUAUUGGCACAACAUCAAUCUAAAGUUGGAUGUGGUUACUGGAAGCUCCAGAGACAUCAUUUUCCAGCAUCUAGAACAUAACAUGAAAGACUCUUCUCCAGGUCCAAAUCGAAACAGCUUUGGGAAGAACUCUGACUGGCUUGGCUUGGACUACCUGCCCUCCACUAGACUAAUUACUGGCAAGGUGAAUGUGAAUUCUGACUUGCUAGGCCUGUGUCACUUGCUUAGCCCAUAGCCAUGUAUUUGGUAGGCCCUGUAGAAUCACACAGGGAUGAGGAAUGGCAAUUUCCCAAAGAAAUUGGAUGCUGAGAUCAGAAGAAUGUGGAAGGGGCAAUUGUGAGAAAAGCACAAUAAAUAUUCACUGCACACAGUAAACAUACAUCUGAGUUGUCUCACUUGAAUUGGAUUCCU
RNAcentral lists this long non-coding RNA (563 nucleotides) under Ailuropoda melanoleuca (giant panda). Its description in RNAcentral is "lncRNA (ENSAMEG00000027641.1)". Lineage: Eukaryota; Metazoa; Chordata; Mammalia; Carnivora; Ursidae. The record is from RNAcentral.